Molecule: ribosomal RNA, 1552 nt
Filed under: Escherichia coli
Lineage: Bacteria; Pseudomonadati; Pseudomonadota; Gammaproteobacteria; Enterobacterales; Enterobacteriaceae
Description: bacterial SSU rRNA
Rfam family: Bacterial small subunit ribosomal RNA
Source: RNAcentral
AAAUUGAAGAGUUUGAUCAUGGCUCAGAUUGAACGCUGGCGGCAGGCCUAACACAUGCAAGUCGAACGGUAACAGGAAGAAGCUUGCUUCUUUGCUGACGAGUGGCGGACGGGUGAGUAAUGUCUGGGAAACUGCCUGAUGGAGGGGGAUAACUACUGGAAACGGUAGCUAAUACCGCAUAACGUCGCAAGACCAAAGAGGGGGACCUUCGGGCCUCUUGCCAUCGGAUGUGCCCAGAUGGGAUUAGCUUGUUGGUGGGGUAACGGCUCACCAAGGCGACGAUCCCUAGCUGGUCUGAGAGGAUGACCAGCCACACUGGAACUGAGACACGGUCCAGACUCCUACGGGAGGCAGCAGUGGGGAAUAUUGCACAAUGGGCGCAAGCCUGAUGCAGCCAUGCCGCGUGUAUGAAGAAGGCCUUCGGGUUGUAAAGUACUUUCAGCGGGGAGGAAGGGAGUAAAGUUAAUACCUUUGCUCAUUGACGUUACCCGCAGAAGAAGCACCGGCUAACUCCGUGCCAGCAGCCGCGGUAAUACGGAGGGUGCAAGCGUUAAUCGGAAUUACUGGGCGUAAAGCGCACGCAGGCGGUUUGUUAAGUCAGAUGUGAAAUCCCCGGGCUCAACCUGGGAACUGCAUCUGAUACUGGCAAGCUUGAGUCUCGUAGAGGGGGGUAGAAUUCCAAGUGUAGCGGUGAAAUGCGUAGAGAUCUGGAGGAAUACCGGUGGCGAAGGCGGCCCCCUGGACGAAGACUGACGCUCAGGUGCGAAAGCGUGGGGAGCAAACAGGAUUAGAUACCCUGGUAGUCCACGCCGUAAACGAUGUCGACUUGGAGGUUGUGCCCUUGAGGCGUGGCUUCCGGAGCUAACGCGUUAAGUCGACCGCCUGGGGAGUACGGCCGCAAGGUUAAAACUCAAAUGAAUUGACGGGGGCCCGCACAAGCGGUGGAGCAUGUGGUUUAAUUCGAUGCAACGCGAAGAACCUUACCUGGUCUUGACAUCCACGGAAGUUUUCAGAGAUGAGAAUGUGCCUUCGGGAACCGUGAGACAGGUGCUGCAUGGCUGUCGUCAGCUCGUGUUGUGAAAUGUUGGGUUAAGUCCCGCAACGAGCGCAACCCUUAUCCUUUGUUGCCAGCGGUCCGGCCGGGAACUCAAAGGAGACUGCCAGUGAUAAACUGGAGGAAGGUGGGGAUGACGUCAAGUCAUCAUGGCCCUUACGACCAGGGCUACACACGUGCUACAAUGGCGCAUACAAAGAGAAGCGACCUCGCGAGAGCAAGCGGACCUCAUAAAGUGCGUCGUAGUCCGGAUUGGAGUCUGCAACUCGACUCCAUGAAGUCGGAAUCGCUAGUAAUCGUGGAUCAGAAUGCCACGGUGAAUACGUUCGGGCCUUGUACACACCGCCCGUCACACCAUGGGAGUGGGUUGCAAAAGAAGUAGGUAGCUUAACCUUCGGGAGGGCGCUUACCACUUUGUGAUUCAUGACUGGGGUGAAGUCGUAACAAGGUAACCGUAGGGGAACCUGCGGUUGGAUCACCUCCUUACCUUAAAGAAGC